UUUCAUUUAUAAUUUCCCUGAGGGGGAAGAAUUUCCAUGUUUUCAUGAAUUGGGUUAUUUACAGUGUUGUUAACGGGCGGCGGAGAAGAUUCUACGGGAGGUUGCUCUGAGCGGGAGCUGUCGGCGCGAGAUUCGACGCUGUGAAUCGCCGGGCUUGGAUUCCCAUGCACCUCAUCACCAUUGCUUUUACUAAAUUCUACAAUAUUGUUCGUUCGAGGAGAAUGUCUCGCGUCGGAUGCACUGAGACUGACGGGCGCAUGACCGACAGAUAUUAGAAAAUAUUUCGAGAAUUCUCGUGGGGCUACAUGUGGCAGCGGCCGUAAUCAGCCUGCCGGUAUUCACAUCGUCUCCUCGAAUAAAAGGGGAACAAUCAGGGAAAAAUCGUUAUCACGGAGUGGACCUGUCCGAAUAGCCGAAAGAGCCAGUCGAGUCUGUCACUCACGCGAAAACCAUUAAUCUGAUGUAAUUCACUCUAAUUAAUCAUCUAGAGCCUAACCAAGCAGUCAGGUCUACUCAGCUAGUCACUCGUCACUUCAAAAGAUAUGAAAAUUCGUUCAAUUAUUGAAAAAUCGUAGAGCGAUCGUUCGGAACAACAACAGAAUAAUAUUCUGAGGGUGCCCACGGAUGAUCGACAAGACGAUAUCUCAACAUCGACGGUUAAGAUGAAGGAGAGCUCAGGAGAGCUGAAGUGUUCGCGGCUCGGGGCGCGGAUUCUGACUGUUAACUUUGCGAGUUGCUCGGCUCUUCAGAUGUGUUGUGGUGGGGCGGCUUGCCCAAUGAGAUGCUGGUGGCCGUCGGUGGUGAAGUACAAUUCCACCCCUUCAAGAAUUUCGGCCAAUUUGCGAAAGUGUGAGAAAGCAAGGACUAUUAUAGUCCUUGUUUGUUACAUUAGCUACGGUCUAUGCUUAUGUAAUAUCAUUAGUAUUAACA
Molecule: long non-coding RNA, 930 nt
Organism: Diachasma alloeum
Lineage: Eukaryota; Metazoa; Arthropoda; Insecta; Hymenoptera; Braconidae
Exons: 4
Source: RefSeq, a predicted model, not a curated record